RNAcentral lists this ribosomal RNA (301 nucleotides) under uncultured bacterium. RNAcentral's name for it is "partial 16S ribosomal RNA". It matches the Rfam family "Bacterial small subunit ribosomal RNA", at positions 509 to 809 of the family's 1533-position model. The record is from RNAcentral.
CAGUAGCCACGGUAAUACGAAGGGGGCUAGCGUUGUUCGGAAUUACUGGGCGUAAAGCGCACGUAGGCGGACAUUUAAGUCAGGGGUGAAAUCCCGGGGCUCAACCCCGGAACUGCCUUUGAUACUGGGUGUCUAGAGUAUGGAAGAGGUGAGUGGAAUUCCGAGUGUAGAGGUGAAAUUCGUAGAUAUUCGGAGGAACACCAGUGGCGAAGGCGGCUCACUGGUCCAUUACUGACGCUGAGGUGCGAAAGCGUGGGGAGCAAACAGGAUUAGAUACCCGUGUAGUCCCUGUCUUUUAUAC